AGAGUUUGAUCCUGGCUCAGGACGAACGCUGGCGGCGUGCUUAACACAUGCAAGUCGAACGGAAAGGCCCUUCGGGGUACUCGAGUGGCGAACGGGUGAGUAACACGUGGGUGAUCUGCCCUGCACUUUGGGAUAAGCCUGGGAAACUGGGUCUAAUACCGAAUAUAACCAUGCACUUCCUGGUGUGUGGUGGAAAGCUUUUGCGGUGUGGGAUGGGCCCGCGGCCUAUCAGCUUGUUGGUGGGGUAAUGGCCUACCAAGGCGACGACGGGUAGCCGGCCUGAGAGGGUGACCGGCCACACUGGGACUGAGAUACGGCCCAGACUCCUACGGGAGGCAGCAGUGGGGAAUAUUGCACAAUGGGCGCAAGCCUGAUGCAGCGACGCCGCGUGAGGGAUGACGGCCUUCGGGUUGUAAACCUCUUUCAGCACAGACGAAGCGCAAGUGACGGUAUGUGCAGAAGAAGGACCGGCCAACUACGUGCCAGCAGCCGCGGUAAUACGUAGGGUCCGAGCGUUGUCCGGAAUUACUGGGCGUAAAGAGCUCGUAGGUGGUUUGUCGCGUUGUUCGUGAAAACUCACAGCUUAACUGUGGGCGUGCGGGCGAUACGGGCAGACUUGAGUACUGCAGGGGAGACUGGAAUUCCUGGUGUAGCGGUGGAAUGCGCAGAUAUCAGGAGGAACACCGGUGGCGAAGGCGGGUCUCUGGGCAGUAACUGACGCUGAGGAGCGAAAGCGUGGGGAGCGAACAGGAUUAGAUACCCUGGUAGUCC
This 771-nucleotide ribosomal RNA is filed under the name uncultured bacterium. Its description in RNAcentral is "bacterial SSU rRNA". It matches the Rfam family "Bacterial small subunit ribosomal RNA", at positions 8 to 796 of the family's 1533-position model. The record is from RNAcentral.